AACGAACGCUGGCGGCAGGCCUAACACAUGCAAGUCGAGCGAGGACUUCGGUUCUAGCGGCGGACGGGUGAGUAACGCGUGGGAAUGUGCCCUUCUCUACGGAAUAGCCCUGGGAAACUGGGAGUAAUACCGUAUACGCCCUAUUGGGGAAAGAUUUAUCGGAGAAGGAUCAGCCCGCGUUGGAUUAGGUAGUUGGUGGGGUAAUGGCCUAACAAGCCGACGAUCCAUAGCUGGUUUGAGAGGAUGAUCAGCCACACUGGGACUGAGACACGGCCCAGACUCCUACGCGAGGCAGCAGUGGGGAAUCUUAGACAAUGGGGGCAACCCUGAUCUAGCCAUGCCGCGUGAGUGAUGAAGGCCUUAGGGUUGUAAAGCUCUUUCAGCUGGGAAGAUAAUGACGGUACCAGCAGAAGAAGCCCCGGCUAACUCCGUG
RNAcentral lists this ribosomal RNA (433 nucleotides) under uncultured bacterium. Its description in RNAcentral is "partial 16S ribosomal RNA". It matches the Rfam family "Bacterial small subunit ribosomal RNA", at positions 29 to 507 of the family's 1533-position model. The record is from RNAcentral.